GUGGGAAUUUCCCAUGGGCGAAAGCCUGACGGAGCAAUACCGCGUGAGGGAGGACUGCCUAUGGGUUGUAAACCUCUUUUCUCAGGGAGGAAGAUCUGACGUGUCCUGGGGAAUAAGCCUUGGCUUACUUUGUGCCCGCCGCCCCGGGAAUUAC
Molecule: ribosomal RNA, 154 nt
Filed under: uncultured cyanobacterium
Lineage: Bacteria; Bacillati; Cyanobacteriota
Description: partial 16S ribosomal RNA
Rfam family: Bacterial small subunit ribosomal RNA
Source: RNAcentral